UGUGUGGGCAGCAGCUGGGAGUGUAAAGAAAGCCAUCUAGUUUUUCUCUACCUUUGUCUCUGCAGUGCACCCACUGCUGUUCUCAACAUUCUCAAUAUUAACCAAGAAGCUGUCUGGGGUCUCAUCAUCCUCCUGAGAUGUUCAGGUAAAAAAGCCAUGCGUGGGGUCCUCAGGGGAACACGGAACGGAGCGGCACCGAGAAGAGACCGGCCUCCUCCUGAUGAUAAAAAAGGAGAGGAUCUGAGUGCAGGACAUGAGAAGGUGGGGACAGAGACGGGAUCACAGCUUGGGACUCAGCUGGAAAACGCUGCAGCUGUUUGUUCUUUGUGCGGAUCAUCUUUCCCUCUAUUCUUCCCCGGGCUGCACAAACCUAGAGGGAUAAAAAAGUUUUUGACUGACGUUACCUCACAGCGUCACGUAUUUCAGUGACUGGUCUGGUGAAGUCUGCAUGCUAACGCGUCUCUUAAAACCAGCUAACAGCUCAUCAAAUGUCAUCUAAUCCGAAAUCGCUUUGUGGACUAACUGUAGAAUGAACCCAAUCACAAAAUGUAUUUUAUAUAUGAUUUUAAUUUAAUAUGAUAAUUUAAUUACCAGCUAUAAGUUGUGAUAGCUUACUCAAACUCGACCAGAAAAGUAAACAAAUCAAACGUUUUCUUCAUUUAUUUAGGGCAAAGACUGAACUGCACGUGCGCCCCCGUGCGACACGGAGGAAGAGCUGAAGGUUCUAUGUUUAUUUCAGUGUAAUUUCUGUUCUUCACUGCAAAGAGACGCUGUUGACUUUAUCAUAGCCAAUAACCCUCUCUGCUUCCUAAGAAGCUGGGAUAUGUUUUCACUGUGUUCACUUUUAUAUGUGAAAAAUAAAGGCUCCUUCUAAUUCUA
Long non-coding RNA from Tachysurus fulvidraco (yellow catfish), 879 nucleotides. RefSeq lists it as uncharacterized. NCBI's taxonomy places the organism in Eukaryota, Metazoa, Chordata, Actinopteri, Siluriformes, Bagridae. The transcript has 3 exons. The record is from RefSeq and is a predicted model, not a curated record.